Molecule: small nuclear RNA, 103 nt
Organism: Acomys russatus (golden spiny mouse)
Lineage: Eukaryota; Metazoa; Chordata; Mammalia; Rodentia; Muridae
Source: RefSeq, a predicted model, not a curated record
UGCUUUAACAAAGCAAACAGUUGAAAAUGGAAUGAGACAGAGAUAAUUAGCAAGGCCUCUGUACACAGAUGAUGCACAAAUUUGUGAAGGGUUCCACAUUUAA